This 253-nucleotide ribosomal RNA is filed under the name uncultured bacterium. RNAcentral describes it as "partial 16S ribosomal RNA". It matches the Rfam family "Bacterial small subunit ribosomal RNA", at positions 524 to 776 of the family's 1533-position model. The record is from RNAcentral.
UACGUAGGUGGCAAGCGUUGUCCGGAAUCAUUGGGCGUAAAGAGCGCGUAGGUGGCUUGUCAGGUCUGAUGUGAAAUCCUGGGGCUCAACCCCAGGCCUGCAUCGGAAACCGGCUUGCUCGAGUCUGGGAGAGGAGAGUGGAAUUCCUGGUGUAGCGGUGAAAUGCGUAGAUAUCAGGAGGAACACCGGUAGCGAAGGCGGCUCUCUGGAACAGUACUGACACUGAGGCGCGAAAGCUAGGGGAGCAAACAGG